GACGUAGGGUGCGAGCGUUGUCCGGAUUCAUUGGGCGUAAAGGGUGCGUAGGUGGCGCCGGAAGUCGGGUGUGAAAUUUCGGAGCUUAACUCCGAAACUGCAUUCGAUACUGCGGUGCUUGAGGACUGGAGAGGAGACUGGAAUUCAUGGUGUAGCAGUGAAAUGCGUAGAGAUCAUGAGGAAGACCAGUGGCGAAGGCGGGUCUCUGGACAGUUCCUGACACUGAGGCACGAAGGCCAGGGGAGCAAACGGG
This 253-nucleotide ribosomal RNA is filed under the name uncultured bacterium. RNAcentral describes it as "partial 16S ribosomal RNA". It matches the Rfam family "Bacterial small subunit ribosomal RNA", at positions 524 to 776 of the family's 1533-position model. The record is from RNAcentral.